This 43330-nucleotide long non-coding RNA is filed under the name Citrus maxima (pomelo). RNAcentral's name for it is "long non-coding RNA (CMAX_LNC001490)". The stretch from base 35714 to 35817 matches the Rfam family "Plant small nucleolar RNA R71". Lineage: Eukaryota; Viridiplantae; Streptophyta; Magnoliopsida; Sapindales; Rutaceae. The record is from RNAcentral.
UAUAAUCAAGAGGAGGAAGAAAUUAGAUGAAACUAGUCAUCAACUAUAUAUCCUAUGCUAACAAUUAACUUAGUUUUUAUUGCAAGCGACGCAUCACCAAUUAUUUCUAGAUUCGCAUUUAGUUGACUUUAUUUUCUAUUAUUAAUACAAAUUAUACAAUAAUUCUACUCUACUUACUAAUAAAAGACACGUCAGAUGUCACGUAACAUUAUUAGAGGGAAAAAUGCUUGGUGAAGAGAAACACGAGAGAAAAACGAGAGAAAUAAAGAAUAAAAUGGUAGAGAGAAAGUGAGUGGGUAGAGAGAGAGAGGACAAAAUUCUCUCUUCUUUCUCUCGUGCUUCUCUACACCUACCACUGCUCUUACUAGAGAUACAAACUACGGAGAGACAUAGCCUUACUUAUCAUAGGCCGUAGAGAAAGACAAGUGUUACCUUUAAAACGUCACCAACGUUGACUAUUAAGGCAUCAGGAAGGGGUUUAACAGCAAACCAUUUUCCAUCUUUCUUAAUUUGGAGACCAUCCAUCUCAUUGAUUUGGAGGAGGAUGGUGAGUAUGGAGCCAUCAGAAUGAGGCUUAAAGCCGAGAACUUACUCUGGUUGCGGACAAGGAGGAUAAUAAUUCAUCCUUAAUGAUUGCAUCCCGUUUUCAAACAGCUCUUUCAUGUCAUUGGGAUCCAUUCUUAGAGCUUUAGCCAUUAGGUCAAGGAUUUUCAAGGUAAGAUUUUUAAGUUCCGUUAAGUAAACUUCCAAGUCAUCUCCGCAUGCAAAUAAUAAUAUAUAGUCCAGUAAUUAUCAUAAGAUAGAAUAUACUAUAUAAGAAAAGUCUAAAAUUUAAGUAUAGAACCUGAAUGGAAGAGGCAACUUGGGGAACAAGUGGGGUUUCCUCAGAUGGGUUGGGAGAGUGAACAUAGUAAAGCCGUAUCCCCAAUCAAGCUUCUGCUCUUCAGACGUAAUAAAAAGCUGCCCAAAUCCCUCAACAUCUCCUGGCUGCUGCCAAAACUUCUUUUUCUCAUCAAUUGGAAGAUUAAAGAAUUCUUGAAUCUCUGCUUUCACUUUCUCCACCAAUGAACUGCUCACUCCAUGAUUCAUCAACCGCAUAUAUGCAAAUUAAAGCAAGAUGUUCUUUCCAUAUAUACAUGGUUCAUAAAGGAAAUUUUGAAGUUCUGGAAACAAAAUGAUUUUUAUGGAAAAUGCUAAAGAAACGGAGAGCUGAUAAAAUGCUGACAAAAACAACGAUAAAUUAGUCUGUUUAAUGGGUUUACAAUCAAGUGACUAAUCCGGUACUGAUUUACUUUGUUUUUUGUAAACGUUUUGUCUAAUUUUUAUUAUCUGAAUAUCACUGCUAAAUUGUUAUGUACCUGAAAGAAACCCCAGUCUUUACAUGCAUGGUUCAUAUAGGGAACUUAAAGCUCAGGAAGUAAAAUUAUUUUUAUGGAAAAUGUAAAAACACUGAGACCUGAAAAAACGCUAACAAAAGCAAUGAUUUGCAAUCAAUUAAGUAUUUUUAUUAUAUGAAUAUCACUGCUCAAUUAUUAUGUACCUGAAAGAAACCCCACUCUUUACAUGCAUGGUCAAGCUUCUCAAGCUCUGAGUCAUCCCCAGAGAGCAACGUGUGCAUGUCAAUGACUGGAAGUUGUUGUGCUGAAGAAUCGUCGUUGCGAAUCAAGGGAUGGUCUAUCUCAGGGAGAACAUAACGUGGCGGAACAGUUGUCAGUGGCAGAUUAUUUGCCAGCUCCAGAAUCGAAGGCUCCACGAGAGAAUUCCCAAUAACUGUUGCUUUUGCCUCCAUGUUAUAUAGAUUUAGAUUAACUGAUUUCUAGCUAUUACCUUUUUGUUUUCUUCUACUCUUCUGCAGACUUAGCUAGUAUGUGUUUUGACAAGAAACUCAUAUAUAAAUAGUCCUCUAGAUGUACUGUACUGUAACUGGGUGCAGUGAAAUAUUAAUUUUAUCAUGAAAAUUCGAGAGAAUUUUGACUUUUAUUAAAGGACACAAAUCAGUGCAACAUUAACACGAUAAAAUUAAUUUUAUAAUGGAAUUAUUUACACUCUACAUUUAAUUUUGAAUAUCAUUUGAUUUUUUACACUCUAAAUUUAAUUUUGAAUAUCAUUUGAUUUUUUACACUCAGUUAAUAAAUUUUAAAAAUUAAUUUUUAUUCUAUACGUUCUUUUAUAUACCAAAACAGUCUUUUAUUUAUAUAUGAUUAUUAUCUCACCCAAUUUAAUUCUUUAUCAAAGAACUUCAUUCUAAAUAAGUCUAUUAUUGUUAACAAGAUAUUUAAGUCUCUGUUUAACAAAAUAUCACUGUGAUGUCUUUAAAUGAAAUAAUAUAUAUAUAUAUUUUUUUUUAAAAGAGAAUUUUCUCUUAUCUUUACUAGAGAGUUAUAUAUUAGAAUCCAAUUCAUGUUCUUCAUUGAUAAUCUUCAAGCAAUAGUAAUAAGCAACUGAUUUGUUUUUCUUUUUCAUUUUUUUUAAUCGGAACUUACAGUUUUAUUUUUUAUUUUUUAAAACAAAAUAAUGUUACUCGUAAAUUUCUAUUUUUUUUUUUAUUCAGCUUCUAUAGUUGGUAGCUUGUUGGGUAUUUAUGAAACUUCUAAUAUUUUAUGAGGUGUAACUGUAAUUGGAUUACUGGGUUGAGCGUGUGUUAGAUGGUGUUAAGAGUAAUAAUAUUCUAUUAACUUGAAUUGACUUGUUCUUAUUAGUAAAUUAUAUUAGGGUAACUUUUGCAAUAAUAUUUUUAUUAAAAAUUAAAGUGUUGAGAAUAAAAUUUAAAGUAUAGUGUUUAAAUUUCAUUUGUCACUGUCAACGCUCCUCUAACUAAAGCUCAGAUGAGAUCAGAAUGCGAAAGGAUUGUUAUCGACUUCGUUAGUAUUCGUAUCCACUUAGUAUUCGUAUCUUUUGCAAUAACGUUCCACCCAUAAUGUUUUGUUCAUUGAACAAUAACACUAUGGCAGACCAAAAUGGUAUGUACUGUUUGUUUGCACGCAGUACUAUCACUUCAGUCAUAUCUUAAUGUCACUAUAGUGUUUAAAUAUCAUUUGUCUCUGUCAACGCUCCCCUAACUAAAGCUCAGAUAAGAUCAGAAUGCCAAAGGAUUGUUAUCGACUUGGUUAGUAUUCGUAUCCAUCUCUUCUCGCAUUUGCGUGAUUAAUUUUUGAAUUGGUACUAAUACGACUAAAUUGGCAUUUUGAAUGAUGAAACCAGGCUGGCCACACAAAAUUGUGUACCCUAAUUAUUGAAUUGAGCAUACAGUAGUAAAAUAGAUACAGACAGGCAUACAACAAUGACAAAAUGGACAACUAUCGCUAUCAAGUUCACGUCCCCAAUCUUGAAAUUACGAAAUUUUUGGGAUUUUUUUUUUGUUGAUCGGUCCUUGUCGUUGGUAGAAAUUACGAAAUUUAAGGGGCACCCUGACUUUUUAAAAUAAUUUACAUUUGUUUUUGUUUCAUCUUGACUAAGGACUCAUUUAAGAUUUACUAUUGAGACUCUAAAGUCACUUAUAAAAGUUAAAAUUUAAUUUUGAUAAUUUUUUUAAAUCAAAAUUUUAAUUUUGAUAAUUUUUUAACUCAAAAAUUUAAUUUUGAUAAUUUUUUUUUUAAAUCACCACAAAUUUUGAAUUUAAGAAUCAAUUUUAUACUUAACAUAAUUUCGCAUAUAUUGUUACACAUUUUCAUAAAACAAAAUUAUUUUUAAUUAGUUAACAAAUAAAAUUAGAAAAUUUAAGAUCGUUAUUAUUUUGAUUUUCUUUUUUUUUUCUUCGUGCACGCUCUUUACCCCAAUUCUUCUUCUUUCUAUUUUCCAUUCCAUCAAGAAUUCUGUAAUAAUGUAAAUAUUAUUGUUUCAAGAUCAACACUUAGGUUAAUAUGUGUUUUUAAAUAUUUAAUAAAAUUUAAGGUGAAUUAUAUACGCACAUUCCAAUCUAAAACAUGGAUUUAUUAAAGUUCGGAAAAGUUAUCAAGCCAUAUAGCUUAAUAGCUUUUUGGACUUCAAUAAUGUGUGAUAAUUAGUUAUAUGAGAAUCCUAUUACUCUAUUACUUCUUUCCCUCUGCCACUUGUACCAGAAUUUUCUAAUAGAGACUGCUUAUUGCACCUAAAUGACUAACUGGUGCUGACUUAAUAAUAUAUGCCCCGUUUGGAAUUGAGGUUGAAACUCAAUAAGCAACUUAUUUUGUAAUUUGUGACAAAAAUAAUGUUUGGUAAAUUUUGUAAAAGUUGCUUAUUUAAUCAUUUUCUCCAUUUUGACAACAACUUUUAAAAGUAAGUAGAGAGUUACUUUUCAUAAGCAGCUUAUUAAAUAAACUAUCAUACCUUUUUAAAGUUCCUAUUAUAGCCUUAAUAUUUUAAUUAAAAAAAUAAUUGUCUUACUUUCUCAUACACCAUAAUAUUAAACCAUUAGAUAUCACAUUACCACCACAAUCAAAUUACCGACACAACUAUUAUAUAUUCUCUCUAGUAUUAAAGUUUUGACCUAGUAAGUUUGUAUUUUUUUUUAUAUUUUACUUUUAUUUUCUAUUAUAAGAUUAAAAAACGUAUGUAUAUAAUUAUGCAAAUUAUUUUUUUUAACUUUGAACAAUUUCACAUGAAAAUUAACCAUAACUUUUAAAAUUAAUUUUAUAACCAUGGUUUUUAAUAUUCAAUCUCUCUCUCUCUCUCUCUCUCUCUCUCUCUCUCUCUCUCUCUCUCUCUCUCUCUCUAUAUAUAUAUAUAUAUAUAUAUAUAUAUAUAUAUAUAUAUAUUAUAGUUAUGGUGUUUAUUGCAUCAAGUUUAAUACGAAUGUAAUACAUACUACUUUUUUAUUUUAUCUUAGUUAUGUAUUAGUAUGAAUUUUAAUCAUAUUUUUUAUAUAACAAAUUUAUAGAGUUCUUUUUUCACUUUAUGCAAUUUUACUUGUUUUAAAGAGAAAAAGGCAUGUCUAAACAUUAUUAAAUAUACUUAAAAAAGAAGAAGAUAAUUUAAAGUUAUAUCUAUUUUCACAACAAGAAAACAGGUAAUAGAUGACGGGAAAUAACUAUUGUAAAAGGGAGUGCAUGACAGACAGUUCAUCUGUCAUCUAUUUCACUGUCAUUAAUUUAUGACAAAAUAUUUUCCAUCAUGAAUUCAUGAUAGUAUUUUACAGUUAUAUAUACGUCACACAAUAUCUUAAUGUGAAAAAUAAUUAAAUUAAAAUUUGAAUUUAUAUAUAUUUUUGCGCUAUUUUUUUAAAUUUUUGGUGGGAAAUUAAAUUAUCAUUUGUAAAUUUAUUAUUGAAUUUUGGCUCAAAAUGUUUUAUGACAAACAUUAUGAUCAUUAUUUCCCAUCAUAAAGUCAAUUUUUUUUAAAAAAAAUUCUAUUGUGAUUAUAAUUUAUUUGUGAAUUCCUGAUUACAAAUUUAAUUAACUAAUAAAAAUGAAUAUCAUCAAAAAAACUAAAAGUAAUUAAUAUUAAUUAACCUCCAUUCAAUCCAACAAAUUAAUUUCAAAACAAAUACAUCUAGUAUUCAAUGUCGUCACCACCAAUACAUAAUAAAACAUCCCAAAUAUAAAAAAAUCUAAAAUAUAAAACAAUAGUUAAAUCCCAAUUAAACUCUAAGAAAAGCAAUUCAAAUUCUAGCCAUCAAGCCAAGUUACCCAACAAAACUUCGAAAGAUUAAUGGAAAUAUUCUAACAGUAAGACUUCCAAUAGAGAUACCAUCUUCCAGCGGCAAUAGAUAAGAAAUUUUACUACAUAUUAAGUAUUUAACAUACAUUCAAUUUGAAUUUAAAAAAAAAAUCUUUUAUUAAUAGAUAACAACUUUUUUUAUGUAUAAAUAUUAUGCUAAAUUGUAAAAAUUAAUGUUACCAAAAUUAUUUUUCAUAAAUUAUAUAUCAAUUAUUUUUCUUGUAAAUAUUUAUAACAUAUAAAAACUAUUGUACUAGAAAACACUAUGAAUACAUAUCUAUUUAAGCUAGUCAUAAGUGUAAAAAUACAAACAACUUACCACUUACACUCAGAUGCCAAAAAAUAAAAACCAAACAUAUUAUUCUAUCUUAAGCAUUCAAAGCCAUUCAAACUUCAGUAACAUUCAAACCUAUUUCAAAUUUAAAAUAAAAAGACAAACCAUGACUUAAUAUGGGGCUAUUUGAAAUCUAGAUUUUACAGUAUCACUUUAUUCUAUACACUCGUUCUCUCAUUUAAUAAAUUUAAAAAAUUGAUUUUAUUGAGCACAUUCUUUUAAAUACCAAAAUAGUCCUCCAUUUAUAUCUUACGUCUCACCCAAUUUAAUUCUUUGUUGACUAAAGAACUUUUUUCUAUGUAAUUCUAUUAUUGUUAAUGAUAUUCAAAUCUCUUGAAAAAAAAAAAUGACCCUCAUCUCUUUGAAUGAAAUAAACUUCCGUCAAAAGAGAAAUGUCUCUUAAUUUUACCAGAGAGUUAUAGACUGGAGUCAAGUUUGUAUUUCCAAUUGAUAAUUUUGAAGCAGCAGCAAUAUGCAGCUGAUUUCUUAUUAUUUUUCCUUUUUCUUUUUGGGGUUUUGCAACGUACAGUUUUAUUUUUAAUUUUUUAAAUCAAAAUAAUGUUUCUCAUUUUUUCGCAUAAAUAAAAAUUGUUUUUCAAUUGCUGUUGUUGGUAGCAUGUUGGUUAUUUAUUAAACCCUUAAUAUUUUCUUUUACGAAUGAUAAAUUAGAUUUAUUGUUAAAGAAAGUUACAGGGUUUUGUAAUUGGAUUAUUGAAUUGAAUGUGCGUUCAAUGGUGUGAAGAGUAAUCAUAUUCCAUUAACUUAAAUUGAAUUGUCUUUAUUAGUAAAUGAUAUUGGAGGAGUUUUUGUAAUAAUAUUUUUAUUAAAAAUUACAGUCUUUAAAAUAAAAUUUAGGGUACAAACAACAUCACUCUAUAAUAUUAUUAUUCAAUAAAUCAUAAUUUUGCGGCACACUAAAAUGAUGCGGAUCAUUUACGCAACCUACCAUCACUUGUAUUAUAUCCUAAUGCCAUUAUAGUGUUCAAAUAUCAUUUGUCUAUCCCAAACGUUCGUUCAAUUAAAGCUAAGGUAAGCUAAGAUUUCACAGUAGAAUAGUAUUCUUAUCCAUGUAGUGUCACAUUGUGUGCUUUAUCUUUAGAUUGGUACUAAUCCCACAAAACUGGCAUUUUGAAAUAUAAAACCAGGCUGACCACACAAACUUGUGUACACAAUUUUUUGUUUUUUUUUUCAAGUGUUACGUCGUAAAAUCGUAAAUUAAAUAUAGACAAAUAUACAACAAUGACAAUGCCUGUCAAGUUCGCGUGCCCAAUCAUAGAAGUUACGAAACUAUUGGGAUAUUUCAUAGUUGAUCGGUCCGCAUCGUUGGUAGAAAUCACGAAUUUUAGAAGGGGACCGUGACUUUUUAAACUGCAUUAUAAUUUAAGUCCUUUAAAUUUAAAUUCAUUUUCGUUUUAUCCUGGUAAUUGAAUAAGGGCUCAUUUAAGAUUACUAUUUUACUCAAAAGUAAUUUUAAAAUAUUAAAAUUUAAUUUUGUUUGGUAAUUUUCUUAAAAUUAUUGAUAACUUUAAUUUUGAGAACAAAUUUUAUACUUAAAUAAUUUUAAAUAUAUUAUUACAUAAAACAAAAAUUAUCCUUAAUUAAUUAAGAAAUAAAAUAAAAAAAAUUCAAGACCACUAUUAUUUUUAUUCGUUUUUUUUUCUUUAUGCACGAUCUCUACCCCAAUUCUUCUUCUUUUGUUUUUAUAUUCCAUCAAUAAUUCUCCAAUACUGCAAAUAUCAUUGCUGCAAGAUCAACACUUAGGUGGCGUUUGUUUUUUUGUCUGAAAUCUGAAUAGAUCUGAAUUAGUCUGAAUGUCUGAAUAUGAAUAAUAUGUUUGUUUUUUUGUCUGAAUCUCAAAAAAUAAGUAUUAAGUUGUUUGUUUUUUUCAACUUAAAAAGCUGAAAAUAUGUACUUUUACAUUUGUAUCCUUAUUAAAUUUGAAUGUCAAAUAAAUAAUAUAUUAAAUACCACAAUAUUUUAACAUUUAUAAGUAAAACUAUAUUCAAGUGAAUACAUAAUUAUUUUAGAAUUUUAAUAUAUAAAAUACCAUAAAUUUCAAAUUUUAUCGUAUAUAAUAUAAGAAAGAAAAAACAGAGAUAUUUUUAUGUGGGGUAAAUAUCUAUGGGUGAGUUUUGGGAUAGACGUGAAAAAUAAAUUAUAAAACAAGGAUAUUUUUUACAUUAGCAAGUAAUUGACUUAAUUCAAAUUUCUCCAUUAAGUAAAAACCCAAAAAAAUUAGCUUAUUUUAUUAAGUCAAAAUUAUCUAAAAAGUCUCAUUAAGUUAUAAAAACAAACACAUCUAAUUAACUUAAUUAAUUAAGUUAAGUCACUUUAAGUCAUUAAGUUAAAAAACAAACGCCACCUUAGUAUAUGUUUCACGACUUUAUUUUUUAAUUUAUCAAUAUUCAAUAAAAUUUAUUCUCAGGUGCAGACGCCCGCAUUUUUAUUAAUGCGGCCACAAUUUUAAACUGUGUGAUUUAAAAAAAAAAUAGUUUGUGAAUGAACUAUAAAACUGUGAGUUUUAAAAGAUUUAAAAACUAAUUCUUUUAAACCCUGUGGUUUUAAAGUGUAUCCGCAUGGAAAUUUCAUAAGACUUGGUGCUAGACCCAAUUCUCCAUCUAAUUUUAGGUUGUAAAAUGUAGUGAAAGAUAACCUUUCCUUCAUUAAGUUUACAGUCACACGAUGUUCAAUAUCACGAUAAGUUCCAUUGCUAAAAAUCUACAGGAUCAUAAAUUGAACCUAAAAAAAAAAAAAGUUAGAGAGUAUAAUCAAGAGGAGGAAAAAAUUAGAUGAAACUAGUCAUCAACUACAUAUCCUAUGCUAACAGCUUAGUUUUUAUUGCAAGCGACGUGUCACCAAUUAUUUCUUAUUAUAGAUUUGCUGUUAGUAGACUUUAUUUUCUAUUAUUAAUACAAAUUAUACAAAGAUUCUACUCUACUUACCAAUAAAAGACAUGUUAGAUGUCACUUAACAUUACUAGAGAUAGAAACUAUGUAGAGACAUAGCGUUACUUAUAAUAGGCUAUAGAAAAUGACCAGUGUUACCUCUAAAACGUCACCAAUGUUGAAUAUAAAGGCAUCAGGAAGGGGUUUAACAGCAACCCAUUUUCCAUCUUUCUUAAUUUGGAGAUCAUCCAUCUCAUUGAUUUGGAGGAGGAUGGUGAGUACGGAGCCAUCAGAAUGAGGCUUAAAGCCAGGAACUUGCUCUGGUUGCGGACAAGGAGGAUAAUAAUUCAUCCUUAAUGAUUGCAUCCCGUUUUCAGACAACUCUAUCAUGUCAUUGGGAUCCAUUCUUAGAGCUUUAGCCAUUAGGUCAAGGAUUUUCAAGGUAAGAUUUUUAAGUUCCGUUAAGUAAACUUCCAAGUCAUCUCUGCAUGCAAAUAACGAUAUAUAGUCCAGUAAUUAUCAUAUGAUAGAAUAUACUAUGUAGCAAAACUCUACGAUUUAAAUAUAGAACCUGAAUGGGAGAGGCAACUUGGGGAACAAGUGGGGUUUCCUCAGAUGGGUUGGGAGAGUGAACAUAGUAAAGCCGUAUCCCCAAUCAAGCUUCUGCUCCUCAGACGUAAUAAAAAGCUGCCCAAAUCCCUCAAUAUCCCCUGGCUGCUGCCAAAAUUUCUUUUUCUCAUCAAUUGGAAGAUUAAAGAAGUCUUGAAUCCUUCUUUCACUUUCUCCACCAAUGAACUGCUCACUCCAUGAUUCAUCAACUGCAUAUAUGCAGAUUAAAACAAGCUGUUCUUUCCAUACAUGGUUCUUAUAGGAAACUUAAAGCUCAGGAAAUAAAAUGAUUUUUAUGGAAAAUGCUAAAAACACCGAGAGCCGAAAGAACGCUAACAAAAGCAAUGAUUCAAGUAUUUUUAUUAUCUGAAUAUCACUGCUCAAUUAUUAUGUACCUGAAAGAAACCCCAGUCUUUACAUGCAUGCUCAAGCUUCUCAAGCUCUGAGUCAUCCCCAGAGAGCAGCCUGUGCAUGUCAAUGACUGGAAGUUGUCGUGUUGAAGAAUCGUCGUUGCGAAUCAGGGGAUGGUCUAUCUCAGCGCGAACAUAACGUGGAGGAACUGUGAUCAGUGGCUGAUUAUUUGCCAGCUCCAGAAUCGAAGGCUCCACCAGAGAACUCCCAAUAACUGUUGCUUUGGUCCCCAUAUUAUAUAGAUUUAGAUUAACUGAUUUCUAGCUAUUACCUUUUUGUUUCUUUUCUCUGCUGUAGACUCAGCUGGUCUGUGUUUUAACGAGAAAUUCAUGUAUAAAUAAUCCUCAGGAUGUACUGUACUGUAAUUGUGUGCUUUAAAAUAUCAAUUUUAAUAUGAAAAUUCGAGAGAAUUUUGACUUUUAUAAGGACACUGAUUAGUGCAACAUUAAGACGAUAAAGAUAAUCUUAGAAUGAAUUAUUUGCACUCUACAUUUAAUUUUGAAUAUCAUUUGAUUUUUACACUCAUUUAAUAAAUUUUAAAAUUAAUUUUUAUUCUAUACUCUUUUAUGUAUCAAAACAGUCUUUUGUUUAUAUCUUAUUAUAUCUCACCCAAUUUAAUUCUUUAUCACAGAACUUCAUUCUAUAUAAUUCUAUUUUUGUUAAAGUGAUAUUUAAGCCUCUCUUUAACAAAAUAUCACUAUGAUACCUUUAAAUGAAAUAGUAUUUUUUUUAAAAAGAGAAUUUUCUCUUAUCUUUACUAGAGAGUUAUGUGCUAGAAUCCAAUUCAUGCUCUUAAUUGAUAAUCUUCAAGCAAUAGAAUAUGCAACUGAUUUGUUUUUAUUUUUCAUUUUUUCAAUUGGGAACUUACAGUCUUAUUUUUUAUUUUCAAAACCAAACAAUGUUACUCGUAAAUUUUUUUUAUCCAGUUUCUAGAGUUGGUAGCUUGUUGGGUAUUUAUGAAACCUUUAAUAUUUUAUGAGGUGUAACAGUAAUAGGAUUAAUAUUUUCACUUCCUUUCUUCACCCUACAAACAGCAAAGUAUGCAAUGAAUGUUUAAAGUUAACAAUCUGUAAAGUCUGGUCUAAACUUUGCUCUAAUUAAAUAUCAUAAUAAAUUAUAAAGAGAGGUUAGAUUAGAAGAUCUCCAACAGCUAGAUUCAAAGAGAUUCUUCAUUACAUUAUUUUAUAAUCAUUUUUUCGAAAAUGUCAUUCCUGUUAUAACAGAGGUAGAGAAACAAAUUGAGAGGGCCUUUCAAUUCCAUUUUCAAGGCGAAAAAUGCAAUGUUAUGUUUCGUUUCUUUUGUUAAUCUAAUCCACUUUCUAUCAAGCAUUUAUUAUUAUUUUUAUUUUUUUGGCUUUUGUUGAGUGUUUUUGUUCUACGAUGGCAAUUUGGGAGAUUAUAAUUGAGAAACAUUUUUAAUAUUUGAAAGAAACCCACGGCUGCACUGAUAAUGAACCCACAGAGAUUAUCAAAGAGUCCCUUUUCGUUUUUAAAGCAGAUUUUUAAAGUUUUAUACGGUGGAGUGUAUGAGAAGAGGAUAAAAAUUGUCAUAAGAGUAAAGUGAGGAUUAGACGGGAUAAAUUGAGUGAUAAAAAAAUUAUUUAAAAAUUUUUAGUGGGGUGUAUUGAGAAGUGGAGGAUGAUGUGGAGAAAUGAGAGUGAAAUAUCCACUAUAACUAUGCUUCAUGAGUAACGAAAUGUUAUAUUCAUUUAGUUAGGAUUCUUAAUUGGUGUACUAAUUAAUGUGUCACCAAUAUAAAUUUAUCAUUUAGAUAUGAAAUGAUAAGACUGAGUAGUUAAGUUCACUUGAACCAAUCAAAUAAUACAACAUAAUCACUUACACAUCUGUUGGUAUACAUAUUAAAUAUCUCAACGAAGUAAAAUUAUUAUUAUAGCAAAUAGAUCUUAAAUAUUAGAAGAAGCUUAUAAUGAAACUGACUCUGAGCCCACUGUCACCUAACCCGUGCAUCCCAGCUACUCUUACGCCUGUAAAUAUUACAAUACUUGGGUUGGGUUGUGCAAUAAUGAAAUUGAUUUUGAUCAAUCACCAUAAAUAGCUGAUUGUAAAUAUUGUGUAAUUAGUUUGAAGUGUGUCACAACAGAAUUAAUGUAGGUUGAUCUCAAUAAAAAUUUAAUUGUAAAUAUAUGAGUGGUGCUCUAAUUAUGAUGUAUAUAUCAAAUGAUAUAAGUAGAGGUCUGAUUGUAAUACUUUCAACGUGAUAUUUAAUUUGACUUGGUUCAACUAUAGCCUUUUCGCUUUCAAUCGAAAACAAAAUAUAAUAAACCCUAAUGUUGUGUUUACUUGCUGGAGUGGGAGUGAGGAGUGUGGAUUCCUCCCACUCCAGCGUUUACUUACUUAAAAUGGAGAGGGAUUGGGAGUCCAACUCCGUGGGCCCCACCCACUUUUGGAGUGGGGAGUGGGAGUGGGAAUCCACUCCCACCUCUCCAAUUUCUACCUUUUUUUUUUAUUUUAUGUUUUAUAAUUAAUAAAAUAAAAUAAAUAAUAUUAUAUUUAUUUAAAUAAUAAUAUUAUAUUUAACUAAAUAAUAAUUUACAUUGAUUCUAAGUUAAAAUUAUUUUAAAAUAAUAUUAUUAUAUUAAUAGAGAAUUAAUAAAUAUAAUAUUAUUAUUUAUUUUAAAAAUAAUAGUACUAUAUUUAUUUAAUAAUAAUAAUAAAUACUUUAUUCUAAGAAAAUAUUAAUUUUGUACUAAAUAAUAUUAUAUUAUUAUUUUAUAUAAUAAUAAAUUUAAUAUAAUUAUAUUAAAUAAAAUAAAAUAACAUUUCAUUUUAUAUUAAAAUUACAAUUAAUAAUUUAUUGUUCAUAAUUAAGAAUAUUAAUAAUUAUAAUAAAUUUACAAAUAUAAUAAAAUAAAUAUUAUUCAUUAAAUAUAUUUUUUAUUAGUUUUGUAAUUAAAAAUUAUAAUUCUUUAAAUAAGGAUAAAAUUGUAAUUUGAAACUAUUUACUUCCAAUCCAAGACAAAGUAAACACAUAAAUUGAAUUCUGAUCUCCAUUCCAUGCUUCCAUUCUAGUGUAAGUAAACAACCUACUCCCACUCCCACUCCACACUCCCAAUCCUAGGAUUCCCACUCCCUAGGAUUCCCAAUCCAAUCCAAAAAGUAAACGCUACCUAAAAACCGUCGUUGAUUACAAUUACAAAUUUACCCCCAUAACUGACAGUCAUUGAUUGCUUCUUUCCCAAGAAACCUUUGGAUAUAUAUUUUAUAACAAUCGGCUAUCACUUUCUUCUUCCAUGUACAAUAUCUCAGUAGGCUGCACUGAUGUUACGGUUGGGUGCUAUUUUGCACAGGAUUAAGAAAACCCAAUUUAGUCAUGCAAACUUAUUGGGAGCUUCCCGGCUGUCAACAACAACAACACGAGACCAAACAACAAGUGCUUUUUGGGGUUCAACGGAAAAGAUCUCCCCAGUCGGACUGUCGGAAGCCCGGCAGUCUGGGUGUUUGAGGAGCUCGAUGAAAUGGCUAAAAUGGGAGAAGACGUAGGCAAAGAUGACAUUGAGUUCAAUAUGGAUCUGUUGCUAAACAAAGCAUGUUACUUGGAUGCUCUCGAGGUAUUUAUUAAAUCAUCAGAUUUCAUUUUUUUUUUUUUUUCCAUUUGGGUUAUCAAUUGCAUCAGUCUUUACUUCUCUGUGUUUUAAUGAUUUUGCAUUAUGGAAUUGGAAUCAAAUGUUAUUUUAUAUAUUUUCACCUUUUAUAAACAUAACCGAAAUCAGCUGAUAUUAAAUUGGGUGCUUGGUGUAUUUUUCAAAGGAUCCUUCAAACACGACAUCAUUUCACAGCACGCACAGAUGUGUGAUUUUAGUUGUAAUAUUUUAUUGCUUUUGUUUUCUAAGACUUGCUCGUUAUCUUGGGUACCUAUAUUAAUCAAGAAAAUUGACUGGCUGGUAAAAUAGUUUUGAUGUUCUGCCAAAUUUAGCUUCCUUGAAAGCAUAAGAAAUUUGAGCUAUUAUUGAUAAUUGAUUUUUUUUUUUAAUUAUCUUGUUGCAAAACUUGUUUGGUAUUGUUUGUCAGUUUAGCAUGCUUUUGUCGUCGCAUUUUAUUUUUUGCAAUCCUUUUAUUAUAAUCUCUCUUUUCUCCAGAUACCGAUGUGGAACAAAAGAUACUUUGAACUUACAACUGGUGAUAUUGCUGUUCGACUGGUUUUGAUUUUCCAUUAUAAGGGAAUAGAAGAGCAGAAAUUUUUUUCAGUAACAUUCCAGAAAACUUAAGGGCUCUCGAGGUUUAUAUUGCUUUGCUUUAUUGCUAUGCCAAACUAGAUUCUGUGUACAAAUCAGAGUCUGUGAAGAAAGCGGAAGCCAUCAUGCAGACAUUAAGGGAUUUGGGGUUAGACAGGGAAACAAUGGCUUACGAUUGUAUGCUUAAUCUUUACUAUCAGACUGGAAAACUUGAGAAAAUUGAAGUAUGGUGCUGGAAAUUGAAGAAAAGGGUAUUGGUUACAACGAUUAUACAUUCUACAUCCGUCUGAGUGCAUAUGCAGCUGUUUCUGAUUGCAAGGGAAUUAAGAAGAUGGUGACAAUGAUGGAAUCGGAUCCCAAUUUUGUUGUAGACUUGUCAGUUUAUGCUAUUGCAGCAAGUGGGUAUGCAAGAGCUGGGCUUCUGGACAAGACUCAUGCAAUGCUAAAGAAAUGUGAGGGACUGGCAACGGGUGGACAAGACAGAUACCCACCGUAUGAUUUUCUUAUCUCAAAGUAUGCGGAAUUUGGGAAUAAAGACGAUGUUUUAAGAGUUUGGGAAUUCUGCAAAAAGAACUCGAGCGGUUGGAAGGUGGCAGGCUCCGUCAUUCCUUCUGUGCUGAAAUUUGACGACCUGGAAAUUUCUGAGACGAUUUUGGAGGAAGUGAAUUGGCCCAAGGGGAAUCCACAUUAUUGUAUCCAUGUUAUAAAUCCCUUGAUUGCUGCAUAUUGCAGAAAAGGUCUUUUAGGGAAGGCUGAAGCUAUUAUCAACAAUGCACAAUCAAGGGGGCUGAACCCUGAUGUGAGGACGUGGUAUCUUAUGGCAACGGGGUAUCUUCAGAAUGAUCAAACAGAAAAGGCAAUGGAAGCGAUGAAGAAAUCAAUUUGUGAAACUGGAAUCGGGUGGAUUCCAUCUAAGGAAUGUUUGGCCGUGUUUCUGAAAUGGUUUGAAGCUGGAAAAGAUACUGAGGAGGCAGAGCAUUUGGCAAACUUAGAAGGGGACUUUUUUGUUAGUUUGGAUCUUUCUUACGAUUUGUUGAAUUAUUUUCAACAUGGCUACGUAGACAAAAUACCCCUGGAGUUCCUGGUUUCGUCGUGGUAAAUAAUACUCCAAUCUUUUAAAUUGACUUUGGAAUUGGGAAUCUUCCCUACAAGUGUGAUUGAUUUUGUUGCCUCUGCAUACAUUUGAAAAAUCUUAAAUAUUGUGGUUUUUCGCUUCCUAUAAGUUUCGGUUGAGAUUUUUAAAAUGGUUGAACUGCUAAAAACAGCUUAAUAAUUAUUUUACAUAAGUACCACAUUGGCCCUUGGCCAUCAACAAUGCUAUCGACAAAAACGGAUUCAUAACUCUAUGUUUCCACGUCAGCGUGGUUGCAAAAGUAACGUGUAUUUUGUAGUUUGAUUAUGUCCAACUUGGGGAUAACAAAACUCAGCCAUUUGAUCGGUGGCUUUAUAUGAACGGUCAAAAUUUUGAAACCAAAUAUCUUCUUUGUGGUCGAAGGCCAGUCGAACAUCGUACGUUACUGGGAGGACGGUGAGAUAUUUUGCAUCCAACGGUCAGCAAAUACGCUCCUAGACACUUUUACUCUUAUCUGAACGGCAGAAAUUUUGAUAGAAAUAACGAAAUUUAAAGGGGGACCCUGACUUUUUUUUUUUUACGAGAGGACCUGACUUUUUAAAAUAAUUUAAAUUUAUUUUUGUUUCAUCUUGACUGAGGACUCAUUUAAGAUUACUAUUAAGACUUCAAAGUAAUUUAAGAAGUAAAAACUUAAUUUUGGUAAUUUUCUUUUUGAAAUCACUCGUGACAAAAUUUGAUUUUGAGCAUCAAAUAAAAUUUAAAUUUUAAUAUGCAUAAUUAAUUUUGGUAAUUUACUAUAUCGUUACAUAUUUUACAUAAGACCAACAUUAUCCUUAAUUAAUUAACAAAUAAAAUCAGAAAGUUUAAGAUUAUUAUCAUUUUGAUUUUUUUUCAUGCACGCUCUUUAUCCCAAUUCUUUUUCUCUCUAUUUUCCAUUCCAUCAAUAAUUCUCUAAUAGUGCAAAUAUCAUUGUUUCAAGAUAGGGUUAAUAUGUGUUUUUUAAUAUUUAAUAAAAUUUAAGGUGAAUUAUAUAUAUUCCAAUCUAGAAUCCUAGAUUUGUUAAAGUCUGGAAAUACUAUUAAGCCAUAUAGUUUAAUAGUGUAUGAUAUAAUACUAUUAAAGCAUAUAUCUUAAUAACUUUUUGGUACUUUAAUAAAGUAUAGAAUCCUGGACUAUUUGUUGAAGUAAAUUUCACUUAACAUUAUGUCUAUUUUAGUCACUUGUACUCUAACAAUAAUUUAAUAAUAAGAUUUAAUAUGUAUAAUUAAUUUUAAUACUCCCAACACUUUUAGAAAUAAAAUUUACUGAACAUUUAGUUGAUUUUGUUCACAAUUGAUUAGGUCCACUACAAAUCUAAUAGAAAUUAUUUUAAAAGCUACAACAUUACAAAACUAGUCCUAAAUUUCGUUGUUAAAUAUAUUAGUACGACAAGUCCACAAGGGCAUUUUAGUCAAACUCAAAUGAACCAUCUUCUUAUAUUAUCAAUAUGACAUGCGCUAGGAGUUUAAGCAUACCAUUCUUAGUGUUAACUACUCAAAGGGAAAUCUACAUUAAGGUAACUACUAAGUUACAUUAUAUGUAAUUUGUAGUUGACCUAAAAGUAGUGUCCUAUAACCUUAGUUGUGUGACAAGUAACAAUUGAGUCAUAAAAAUUAAAAAAAAAAAAAAAAUUUGGUCGAUAUACGUUACAUAUGAUAUAACUUAGCAAGACCCGUUAUAUAUAUUUACCGUAUAUUUACGCAACGGAAUAUUUUUUUAGGUGAUCGAUGUUUGUUGAUAUACAUUGUCAAUGCGGCUUCAUCUUUGGAUUCUUCUUGGAGAACUAAAGCCUGAGAGAAUCCCUAGCUGAAAAUAACAAGAGAAGAUCCGCAAAUAAGGGAGAGAGUUUUAGCCAAGAUUGCGGACUCAGUUGAUGAUAAUGAUGAUCUUUAUGAGAAAUUAAAAGUUGAGGCUUAAUGGCUUAUUGAUAAUUUGAUAUCUUUUAUAGGUUAAUAUGAUGUUUCUAGCUAUGCAAGCAUUUGUAUGAAGUUGGAUUUUUAUAUUCAUAUACUUUGAUACGAUAUUUAGUUAAUUGGUACUUCUUUAAUAAUGUAAAUUUUACUUUACCUUAUUCAGUUUUCAUAUACUUUAAGAUGAUAUUUAGUUAAGGGAGAUUAUCAAUUUCCCCACUACUGUAAUUAAUAUAUACAAUUUAUUUCCCUGUUGUAUUUAUAAUAACUAGUAACUCCCAUAACAACAUAAGUUUACAAUAUUACGUCUAUUUUAAAAUAUACUUUUAUUUAUAUUUAUUAUAAAUUAAAUAAAUGAUAUGAAUAGAAAAUAAAUAAAAAAAUUAAAUAUUAAAAACAAGAAAUAUAUGCUUUGAUGUGAACAAAAAAAUUAAUAAUAAAAUUUUUUCUUGUACUUUUUUAUUUUGUAAAUAUUUUCUUAUAAUAAAUAUUUUAUAAUAUUUUAAAAUUAAAUAUAAAAAAGUAUCGGAAAAUAUUUUAUUAUUUAUUUUAUAAUAAUAAUUUAUUAAUUAUUCAAGUUUUCUUAUAACAAUUUUUUUUAUCAUUUUAUAAUAAUUUUCUUAUAUAUUUAUUAUAAGAAAAUGUUUAUAAAAUAAAAAAAAAGUAUAAGAAAAAUAUUUUAUUAUUAAUUUUUUUCACAUGAAAACAUAUAUUUCUUAUUUUUUAAACUUAAUUUUUUUAUUUUAAUUUCCAUUCACAUGAUUUAUUUAAUCUAUAAUAAAUAUGAAUAAAAGUGUAUUUAAAAACAAGGGUAAUAUUGUAAACUUAUAUUGUUGAGGGAUUAUUGGCUAUUAUAAAAAUAUGAGGGCGCAAAUCAUAAAUAUUAAUUACAGUAGGGGAGGAAUUGACAAUCUUCCUUUAGUUAAUUAAGGGGUGGGGAUAUUUCCACCCAAUUAUUUGCCUAAACCCCCUUCACUUCUACAAAAUAUUUGCAAUAAAUACACAUUUUUUUUCUAAUAAAUACAAAUCAACAAAAAAAUAUAUAUAAUUAAUCAAUUAAAUCAUUCUUAUAUUUUUUUACUUAGUUUUUUAAAACUAUUAAAGUAAGUAAAAAAAUAUAAUAUAAGUUCCAUUUAAUUAUUUUGCUUUAUGACAUAAAAUGACCCACUUGUCCAAAAAAAUAUGUGUUCUUGUAUCUAAUACUUUAGGUACUUAGUUUUUUGACUUUUAAUCUAACUUCUUGUUAGAGUGCAAUUUAUGCACUAGUUUUGCAUUGUUUACUUCCUUUAAUAUCGAUGUUUUGCACUUAAUAAUAGUGAUUUACUUGUAUUUUAUUUUUGUAGGUGCAAUUAUAUUGAUUGGUGCUAAAAUUGAGCUACAAGAUGAUGUUUGGGGAUGAUUGUUUUCCUGGAGAAAUUAUGAGCUUCAGAAGAACUUUGUUGAUAAGGUGUGGGGGUGUGCUGUCAACUACGGACCUGCAGUUUUUAGUUUAACGUGUUUUGUCUUUUUGGUUAAUUUUGUACUUUUGAAUUUAAUAUUUAGAUAAUAUUUUAGAUGUUAGUAUUUUAUUUUUAGAAAAACUCUAUAAGAGGAAGGAGACGUGAAAAACAAGAGAGGAGGGGACUUUGGAAAGAGGAAGAAGAAAGAAACCCUAGAUCUAAAUUUUUCUCUUCUCUCUAUGAAGAACUAAACCUAUUAUUCUGGUUGAAGGUUAAUGAAGCUUUGAUUCAUCAUUAUUGUGAGAUCUUUCUUAUGCUUUAAUUGUUUUAUUACUUUUUGGGUAUUUGUUUAUUCUCAAAAUUAUUGUCAUGAUUAUGUUUGUUAAUUAGAUAAUAUGCCACUAUUUAAUUAUCAACUUAAUAUAUUGUCAAUUAUAGGAUUCAUCGUAUGAAGAUUUCAAUGUUUGUGACAAAUAACAUAGCAGUGCGUUGUGUUAUGAGAAUAAACAAUCUAAUUUAAAUGAACCAUCGUAUGCGUUUGUUGAUUAGGAUUUGGGUCUCUCUGGUUUUUCAGGCUGUAAAUUGAUUAAAUCCUAUGAUCGUAUCUAGGGUUAUCUAUUGAUUAGGGAAAUAACCAAUGGUCGUACCUUGGUUAUCGACUAGUUAAGGAGAGAUUGGCUAUUAGAGGGUCUCAGUAGCUACAACCGGUCUAUUCAUAAGUAGUAAUGAUUUAUAUUUGAAUCAAUGAUCAGUAGUCGAAUCAAGCUGAGUUAAUUCCUUCAACCAGAGCUUUUCCCAAUUUGAAUUACAAUUUUAAUUUGCAUUCUUGUUAUUUUUAUUUGAUUUUUAUUAUUGUCAACAAUCCCCCCAUUUUGCAAUUUACAUUUUAAAAAGGAUUUAAAUAAUUACCGAUCUCUGUGGACACGACUCUUCUCAAUCCCUAUACACAAUUUAUUUAGAGUAGGUAUUUAUUUUUACUAGCUUCGACAACCAUCACUUCUUAAAUGACGUCUAAUAAUUUUCAAUAUUUUACAUGUAAAUGACAUAAAUUUGACAGGCUAAUAAUUUAAUGAGAAUUUUCUCAUAAGAACAUUAUGUUAGUUUAAUUAAAAAUUAAUAAUCAUAUUAAUAAAGUAAAAUUAACUAUUUAGAAACAAUGAAUUUUGUAUGAAAUUAAGAAAUUGUUGAAGCUAAAUUAAAUUUUUGGUAUUUUUACCCUUUAAGCGUAAAAUAGUCAAUUUAAAUUUAGGUUAAAGCAGUCUUAUUAGUCAAAUAUAAUAAAAAAAUCUAAGUCACAACAAAAUAAAUUUAAAUAGAUUUAAUUAAUUAAUUCUUCUGAAUUCUUUUUUAUUUGAAAUUUUUAAAAAUAAUGAGAAUUUUUUGUAAUUAUUUUUUAAAAGUGGGGUGGAUUUGCAGAAUUUGUGGGGUGGAAAUAUCACCACCCUUAAUUAAAUACUUCUUUAAUAAUAUAAAUUUCACUUUACCUCAUUCAAUUUUGUUCUCCUAAAGAUAGGUUUUUAUUCUCAUAUUUGAAGUAAAAAUUUAAUUUUUCGAGAAACCUCGAUAGAGAGGGCAAUUUUUUCGGAUAUAAAAGAAACAGUUGCAUCAAUUCAGGAGAGCACAUAGUGAGGCUUACCUCUUCAAAACUGAAAUAAUCUCUAACUUGAAAGACCAUCUAACUUCUUUGGAAGGAUGUUUGUACCUUUGAAGGCACCACAUGCCAUCCAGUAAACCUGGAGUACUCAUGAUCAAGAUUUGCUGGAUGAUCCAUAACACCCUUUUGUUAUCUAAAAGUACAACAGAAAAGGAAAUUCAUUGCCUUUAGAAAGAUGGCGACAAUUAAGCCAUCUAUUUCGAAUACCAUUUUAUUAAUGAAGAUAUUAUGAAUAUCUUGAUAAUAGUAUAAAGUUCAAAUCGCUCAAAACGGUUUAAACCGGUAGAGUGGGGCUCGUUAAAGCUAUUUUCCGCAGUCCUUUGCUCUAUAGCAUCUAGAUUUAUUUAUGGCCUAAAUCUUUGAUCAAACAGCUUCAUACCUGGUCUCGGAAAUUCAUUUCUUGUGAUUACAGUUCUCGGAAGAUAGCGUUAGUUCAUUGCGAUCAGUUUUGUUUGUUAAAGGCAGUGGGUGGUCUUGGACUUCGUCGUCUAGAUAUUUUAAAUAGAUCAUGCAUGCCUGUAAAAGAUUUUAUGCAAUGUUAAAAAUCAUUCUUCUAUGUAUGCUGACUAUCUUAAAGCUUGUUACAAACUUAUUAUACACCAAUCGGUUUUUUGUUAAUUCCUCUUAAUAGGCUGGUCUCUUAAAGUGUUAUUGCUGAUGGCUUCUUUAUUCAUUUUUUGGAUUGACAGAUGGUUGUCGGAUCCUCUUCCUCCUAUUAGUUAAAGCUUGUUACAAACUUAUUAUACAGCCAAUCGGUUUUUUGUUAAUUCCUCUUAAUAGGCUGGUCUCUUAAAGUGUUGUUGCUGAUGGCUUCUUUAUUCAUUUUUUGGAUUGACAGAUGGUUGUCGGAUCCUCUUCCUCCUAUUAGUUAUUUUAUUGACCUUGCUUUGUCUUGUACUAAAGUCUCCAGAUUAAUGAUUUAUGGGAGUUUAUUUUUCAAUAUCAGAUUAAUUAGUCCUCAACUUUAUAAUAUUUGGGUCACCACCAGUUAUUACCUGCUUUAUUUGAUUUGGAAAGACAGAAAUAAGCUGAGAUUUGAGAAUGUCUAUCCUUCUGUAGAUCGUUUUACGGCCAAAUGUUCUGCCCGUAUUAUUAUUUUGCUAAACUUUGCCCAGGUUAUGUUGGUUAUGCCAUAUUAUUAUUCUGCCAAACUUUAUCGAGGCUGUUGAAAGUCAAAUAAUCGCUCGCCAAUUUCAAAAAGCAAAAUCGGCGGCAUGUUUUUGUUGACAUAUGCAUGGAGAAAAAUGUGGUGGUUUUUCUAGAUGCCGCUUGAAUUUGUCAAAAUUGUUGAUUUUGGUUGCCGUUUUUCAAAGCUUUUGGGGACAAAGGAAUUAAAUGCAUGCAUGAUCUUUGGCUAUAAAUACCAAGCCAUUUGUUCAUUUGAAGGCAUCCACAUUUUGAGAGCAAUUGCAAGUAAAUCAAUUUGAGAGAUUUGAGAGAUUUGAGAGAGCUAUUACUUAAGUGUUCUAGUGAGGAUCCAAAUGGGUGUAUUGAGGUUUCCGGCUUCGAGAGCUUUUUUCUCAAUUUUGUAAAUUCCCAUUUAUUACUGAAAUUAGCUUUAAUCUUUGCCCGUGAAUGUAGAUUUUAUGCCGAACCACAUAAAUUAUUGUAUUUAAUUUAUUUUUUUGCAUUUUCUUAUUACCAUAUUUAUAUUUCUGCAGAAGUCACAGUCACCAUAAUAUUGAUAAUUGCUCAACCCGCGCUUCCGCAAAAAUUGGUAUUAGAGCCAAAGGUUCAUACUUGGGGUAUACUACACUGUUCACGUAAAUAGUAUUAUUUGUAGAUAUGGUACUAUUCACGCAUACGAUGGAGACGACGAUUUGUACUUGGGAGACAGUCUAUUUAUGAAUAGCUACUGACGGCAUUGGUCAUUUAGGUUAAGAAAGAUGAUAGAGACAUCAUUGUUGUCUUCAUCAGCGAUGACUACUGUGACUAAUGCAAAGUUUGAAGUGGACAAAUUCAAUAGUACUAAUAAUUUUGGUAUGCAGCAAUAUGAGGUGAUGGAUCUCUUAUGUUAGAAAGAGUUGGAGCUUACUCUUAAAGAAAAGACUGAGAAGAUAAAUCACAAGGAGUGGACAAAAAUCAAUAGAUAGUGGACAAAAAUCAAUAGAUAGGUAUGUGGUACUAUUCACUUAUGUCUAGUUAAAGAUCAUAAAUACUUUGUCAUGAGUGAGACAUCAGUAAAGAAAUUGUGGGAAAACAUUGGAAGAAAAAUAUAUAAAGAAAAGCCAUGAAAACAUGCUUUAUAUGAAGAAAAAACUCUCAAAACCAAAAACCUAAUACACCGAAUUGGAUCCUCACUUGAACAUUCAAGUAUAAACUCUCUCAAAUGUCUAAUAUUGCUUCACUUGUAGUUUAUCUCAAAAUGUGGAUGCCUUCAAAUGAACAAAUGUUUGUCAAAAUGGUCUUUAGCGAUAAAUACCAAGCCAUUUGGUCAUUUGAAGGCAUUCACAUUUUGAGAGCAAUUGCAAGUAAAGUAAUUUGAGAGAUUUGAAAGAGUUUCAACCUACGUGUUCUAGUCAAGAUCUAAUUGGGUGUAUUGGGAUUUUGAGUUUUGAGAUUUUUUUUUUCUAAUUUUGUUAAUUCGCAUUUAUUAGCUCAUGAAAUUAUCUUCUAGUCUUUGCUCUUGGACGUAGGCUUUACGUCAAAACAAGUAAAUUAUUGUGUUCAAAUUUUUCUUUUUAUUUGUUUAUUACCACAUUUAUAUUUAUAUAAAAGUUGCAAUCACCGUAAUGUUGAUAAUUGCUAAACCUGCACUUCCCUAACAGAGGUUAUGAUAGUUAUGGGUGGAACAUGAACAAAUUUUUGCUUAGUACAAGAUUAGAUCAUGAGAAAAUCUUAUAUAGGACAUACAUAUCCUCAAGUUCCUUAGCAUCCCAUCUUAUAUAGGACAUAGAUAAGAUCAUGAGAAAAUCUUAUAUAAGAAAAAUGUUAAACAAACUGAACGUUCACAGAAGAAUCACAGAUUUAAUUAACAAAGUAAUCCUGCACAGUUUUAUAGUUAAUUUGGUCAUCAUUUAAUAUCAGUGCUCUGAAGGGAAUUAAGAAAACACUAAGUUAAAGUAGAAAACAAAGGCAGUAGAAAGUGAUGAGUGCUACAUCCAAAACGUCACCAACGAUUAUGAUAAAAGCAUCAGGGAGGAGUUUAACGAGAACCCAAUUUCCAUCUUUCUUUAUUUGGAGGCCAUCCAUCUCAUUGAUUUGGAGGAGGAUGGUGAGUGCAGAGGCAUCAGAAUGAGAAUUCAAGCCAAUAACUUGCUCUGGUUGUUGACAAGGAGGGUCAUAAUUCAUCCUUAUUGAUUGCACACCAUUUCAAACAACUCUUUCAUCUCAUUGGGAUCCAUUCUUAGAGCUUUUUCCAUUUGGUCAAGCAUUUUCAGGGUAAGAUUUUUCACUUCCGUUAAGUAAACUUCCAAGGUAUCUCUAGCAAUGCAGCACUAUUGUAGUAUUGUUAGAUGGACGAAACGUUGCAUCAAUAAUUGGUGUGUUGUGUGGCUAAAAAUGAAAAAAGAAAAAUUGAGAGGCAGAGAAAACCUGAAUGGGAGAGGCAAUUUGGGGAACAGGUGGGGUCUUCUCGAAUGAAUUGGGAGAGUGAAUAUGGUAAAGCCGUAUCCCCAAUCAAGUUUCUGCUCCUCAGAAGCAAUGAAGAGCUGCCCAAAUCCCUCAAUAUCACCAGGUCGAUGCCAGUACUUGUUCUUUUCCUCAAUUGGAAGAUCAAAGAAGUCUUGGGUCUCAGCUUUCAUUUUCUCCACCAGUGAACUGCUCACUCCAUGAUUCACCAGCUACAUGCAAAUUAUUCAAAGCACGAUGUUGUUGUCAUAUAUGUUCCACAGAAAUUAAUUUGAAGUCAGAAAAACAUGAAGAAAUACUCAUUUAAUUCCCAUAAUUUGAGCUAAUCAUCUAGUCAGUCGAUUUCCUUUCAAAACAACAAUAAUAUGUUCACAAAAAAUAGUAUAAAAAUGGUACGUCAUACUAGAAAACCAAAAAAAAAAAAAAAUAACUAUAGGAUGAAAAAAAUUAUUACAAGACAAGAAAUUUUUUUUUAAUCUUUUGUAGUUUUUAUACUAAUUUUUGUAUUAUUUUCGAUACAUAUUUCAUUAUUUUUUCAAAAAGAUUACUUAAAACAUAUUUUUGUAGCGAUUGGAUCCGAUUUUUUAAGGAUAAAAUAAUAUUUACAUAAUUUCAAAUAAUUAAAAUUCAAAUUAAUUCAACAUUUAGGAGGUGAAAAAAAAUGAUAAUUAAAUUGAUAUCAAUGAAUCAACAAAAAUACAAUAGAGGACGUUUUAGAUGAUUUUUUUUUUUUUUUUUUGUGUUGGGGAAAAUACAAGCACUACUUGGAUAAUUUGCUAAAAUUAUGGAAAAUGACAAUAAUUAACAAAGAAGAGUACGUAUACAUGAAAGAAACCCUAUUCUUUGCAUGCAAGGUCAAGCUUCUCAAGCUCUGAAUCAUCUCUAGAGAGCAAUUUCUGCAGGUCGAUGACUGUUAGGAAAUUAGUGGGUGAAGCUGACACGCAGCUAAAAUAAAAUUGGAAGAAACUAAAGAACAAGCACAAUAGAGGACACCAGAAAUUACGUGGUUCGGUUUUUAGCCUAUGUCCACUGGCGAAAACAGAAGGAAAAUAUUUUACUAGUAAAAAAGAGUUACACGUAUUGUGGUAUUUUGUCUCACUACCCAAAACCCGAAUACACCCAAAACUCUCAAAUCACAAAUCACUCAAGAGUUUGUUAAAACUCUUAAAAUACUCUCACUUUCUCUCUAAAGAAGAAGAAAUAAAAUGGAAAAUUUGGAUGCUCUAAGCCGAUGGGGAGCUCCCCCUUUUAUAGCCAAAAUUGGCUAUUAAAAUAAUAAUAUUUUUUUCUUUUCUUCCAUUUUGAUGUGCCAACCACCAUUUGCAGCAUUUUCUUCAUUCUUCUUUCUUCUUUGUCAAAAUUUCCCUUUUUUUUCCUUUCCUUGGGCGGCAUCUACUUGGACUUCAAUUUGGGUGGUCAUUUUGAAAAAUGUUAAUGGUGCCAAACCGCCCAACCAUGACUUUGACAUUCUCCCACUUGGAGAUUAAAUUGAGAAUCAAUCAAUCUCUACACUAUUCUUUCUACUUCGCCAUAAUCAUGUUACCUACGUUUCUGCUAGGCCACAAGAGGAUCUAAUCCAGACAAACUUAUCAGUAUUUAUUGGCUUGGUCAAAACAUCUGCUAGAUUCUCCUUCAUAUGGAUUUUUUGUAAAUCCACACUUCCGUCUUCCACUACUUCUCGAACGAAGUGAUACUGAACUCCUAUGUGUUUUGUCCUGGAAUGAAAGGCUAGAUUCCUUGCAAUGUGCAAGACACUCUGACUAUCACAAAACACAGAAAUUUUCUCUUGUUUGUGCCCGAGUUCCUCCAAUAACCUUUGUAUCCAGAUAGCUUCCUUGCAAGCUUGUGUAGCCGCCAUGUACUCUGCUUCUGUUGUAGAUAAUUCCUUAACUCUUUGCAGUUUUGAAACCCAGCUUACAGCUCCUCCCGUAAGUGUUGUUGUGCAAAUUUUAAUGUACUCGCAAGUGCACGAAUCUAUUGUAGUAUAGAUCAAUGGUGACGAGUGUCGAUCCCACGAGGAGGUGGAUUUUAAUUGUGUAUAGAAUUAAUUUUGUAAAUGGGGGAUUGAAUUUGUGGUGGAAAUGAUUUGGAAUAUGCUAAAACUUAAAUUAAAAUGGCGAGAAUAAAUUCUAAAAUUGGAAUUGAAAUGGCGAGAAUAAAUUGAAGAGAAUUCUAUUGAAAUGGUGUACUUGAGUAUCUGGAUCCGUAUCAACAUGCAUCAUGGGCUAAAUAUUCCUUAUUAAUACCAAUUAAAUCAUGAGGGGGGAAUCCACACCUCAUGAACCACGCUCUAAUCAAUAUGGUGCUAAGGGCUUAUCGUGCCAAAUAAUAAUAACCUUAUACUAGAGAGCCGGUGUAACCAAGGCGGUAUCUAGACAAGAUCAGUAUUAUUUGUCGACGAUAAGUCAAAUCAUCCACAAAAAUUAGAGGGGAAGAGAAAGUAAAUUUACCAAAUCAAGCCCAUGACACAUGUUGAGACUUCACCUUCAACCCAAGUUUGAAAGAAAAUUAGCCACUCAUAAUUGAACUAGGGGCAAAAUGGAAAUUUAUUAAAAUACGAAGAAAAUACAAGAUGGAGAGGGAAUUACAGAAAAUGGAUCCCAAAAAUGGAUUCAAAGAUAUCAAAUUAGGGGGGGGAGGCCCCCUUUUUAUAGAUACAUGGAGUAAAUCAUGGCCAUCGGAUUAAAAACAGUUUGGACGCUCAGGAUUGCGCCACGUCAUCAGUCAACAGUCCACGGUUUGACCACGUGGAUGAACAGUAACACGGUUUGACCCGGAUGAACAGUACGCGGUUUGGUUGAAAAUAAUCCUGUGUGAUGCAUGCACCGUACGCGAGAUUUUUCGUCCACUGAUAUGCUGCCACGUCACCAUCAACAGUACAUAAGAAUUUUAGUCCAACAGGAUCGUGACACCUCAUCAGUCAAUGCCACAUCAUCGGUCCGUCUAUGUGAACAGUGUCGUGAACAGUAACGUAGACAGUACCGUAUACGUGAAUAGUACCGUACAUGUGAAUAGUGCCAUUUUUCCUUUUAUGCUCCUCCUAAGGUUUUCGACCAUCCUGAGUUCAAAAGUGAUGUCCGUUUUGCCGUCUGAUCUCUCCUUUAUUGUGAAAUGACUAUACUGCCCCUAAAAUACAUAAAAUACUUAAUUAAAAUAACACACACGUAAUUACAUCAUAAGAAGGUUAAAUACAUAAAAGUAAGGGUUGUUAGUAAGACUUGAAAUGUAAAAUGACGGUUUUCUCCUUUAUAAAUAUGCAUUUUCUGACACUCAACACACCCUCCAACCAGCUUAUUGCUAGUCCCUAGCAAAUAAAGCGAAAACAAAAUUCAAAUUCAAUUUUUUUUUUUUUUUUUUUUUUUUUAGAAACACUCGUGUUUAUUCAAUCAGAUUAAUGAUAGCAAUCAAAUAAAAGUAUAAGCAUUAUCUCUAGUCUAAAGCAAUAUCACACCCACAUCAACCAUCCACAUGAAUUGGCCCAGUAGACUUUGUUAUAGCUACUUUCAAGAAUGACAUGUCAAACCCCAAAAUCUCACUGGAAGUAGUGACACUCUCAUAAUGAAUGGUAAUUGAGAGAAAAUAAUGAAAAAGUGAUAUCACAUGCUCUCACCAAGAUGAAAUAAAUAUGCCCUCAGCUUAGAAAUAAUACAAUCUCAAGUCAAAUAAAAAAAAUGUUAGUCAACCCAAUUUAUUUAUUUAUUUUUUUUAUAUGCACCACUACAUCUUUUUAGCCCAUAUAACUAGCUUCUACUUCAAACUAUAGUUCCCUAAAAUCAAGAAGGACUUUUAUUAGGACGUAACGUAGGCUAGGGAUAUGACUAACAAAGAAAGGAAAUAAGGAAAACAAAGUGUAUAUUUGAGAAAAAUGCAGAAAUAUUUUUUCUUUUUUUUGAAGUUGCAAGGUGGAUUUCACCUAUUAUUGUUAUUUUAUUAUUUUGAAACAACAACUUUUGUUUUUUUUUUGUUUUGUUUUGUUUUUUUUGUUUUUUUUUGUUUUUUUUGCUUUUAUUUGGCAUAACUUCACUGAACAACAUAAUUAUUUACAUUUUCUCAAACAUAAAUAGGUGAUGGAACUUAUAAGACAUCGGGUAAUACUCCAAAUCAGAGUGGGUCAAGAUGAUAAGUUGACAAAGAAAAUAUAUAUAUUUUUUUUAAAGGCUCAAAAGGGGUAACUAUGGAUAUUUAAUAACGGGGAUGGCUAGAAAGGCUCAAACGGAUCAAAGAUGGCCUUUCCAUCGUUUUUUAGGGCUCUAAAUAAUUAUCCAUAUCUACUAGUUAGAUGGGCCUCCCAAUGUAGCAACGCACAUUUUUUUCUUUUUUUUUUUCUUUUUUUUUUUAAUUUUACCAUUUUUUUUUUAUAGGGUUAACUCAAAAGAAAUCUAGAGAUCGUGUAUAAAAUAAUAAACUGCUAAGCUGUAUAGAAAAUGGGCAAAAGGGUUACUCUCCAAGAAAAUGAUAGGCUCAACAACUCACUUGGCACUUAUUUAUGACAUGUUCGAAUUCAAGCAACUCAUAUUUGUCUCCGACAUCAACAUGUAAAGUAGCAAACAUAGCGUAACAUCACUUAAGACCAAAGAUAAUACAAAUACUAAAAUUUGAAAUUAAUCAUGUUAUCCAAUGUUAAAACAAAAAACACAAUUUUUUUUUUUUUUUACACAACAUUCUACCCCCCAACCUAUUCUAAACAUGAAAGGAAAAUAUGCAUGCAGAAAUGUGAAAAUGAUGUAGAAAAAUUAAUUAGAAAAAUAAAUUUUUUGUUUUUUAACUAAGAAGAUGCGUUUCUAGAGGCACUACACUCCAUAUUCAGCCAUCUUCGACUCAAAAAUUUGAAAAUAUAUAUUUAUAAAGGAGAAAGAGGAAGAAAACGAUUUUGUUUUUGUUUUUUUUUUUUAAACGAUGAAGAUGCGUUUCUAGAGUAACUACACUCCAUAUUCAGCCAUCUUCAACAUAAAACGUUAGCAACAGUUAGUUUCUACAACAAAAAAUCAGUAAAAACUUAACCAAGAUUCCACAAUUGUCGACUAUUCCCUCCCCCAACCAGAACGAAACAUUGUCCUCAAUGUUUUAAAGGAAAGAAGUAGAGUUUAGAAGACAUCACCUGGGUGGUGCAACACAGAAGAAUAUAUUUACAGGCGGAGAGUUAAAUCUAAUUUGUACUUCUUACUGCGGCUACUGUUACCAUCAUUAUUUGGGCGCUCCAACACAAAGGUCCAGGGGUCUGGCUCCGGUUUAUAAGCUUGUAACAGAUCAAGUAGCUCAUUAGCAGUGUGAGCACAAAUAAAAAGUUUUUUUUACAUUAGAAGGAAUGAAAUAGUUUUUUAUUGCAUGGUUAAGAAAUGCGAUAAAGCCAUCAUAAAAGUUAUUGACAUUUAACAAACCGAUAGGUUUCUGGUGGAUGUGCAGAUGGGCCCAAGAUCCUAGUGUCAUAAGUGCCUCUAGUGUUGCAAGAUCUCCUGGAAGGAAAAUAAAAGCAUCAGCAUGAUUAAGCAUUUCAGUUAUUCUUUCUUGCAUACUUGAGACGACUAACUCUUCUCCAGUUGAUGAGUCAGACGAACUGCCCAAUGGUUUUAGGACUCUUGGGAUGAUGCCUAACACUUGACUUCCUCUGAUAAAAGCUGCUUCUGAGACCAUUUUUGAUAACCCUCGGUUACCUCCUCCAUACACCAAAUGUAAUUUUCUCGCUGCUAUGCUUCGACCAAGAUCUAUGGCUGCCUCAACGAACUCUUUAUGUUUGCCAUAUGUAAAUCCAGAAAGCACACAAAUGUUCUUGAAUUGUCUAUUGGGAGUAGCUGCCAUUGUGAUACUUCUCAAAAACAAUUUGUGAGUGCUUGACAAAAGAUAAAUCACAUUUAAGAAUCUUGGUGACAAUGGAUCACUGCUGUGAAUGAGGUAACAUAUCAGUGUCAAAUAACGCGUAAAGCACGUGGCUCGCGAGUCAAAAAGGAAACAGUAAAAAGGACAAAGCAAACAGUAAUAAAAUUAUUAAAGACAAUAAUGCAAACAAUAAAACAACAGUGAAAUGAAAUAAAAUAACAGUAAAGUAAAAGGAUAUUUACACGUAGUUGCGACUGUGGCUCACAUCUUCCUCUGGUUUUACGUCCAGAAACGGCUUGAACGCCCUCUAUGGGUCGAGGAUCGGCUUCCCAUCCAGUUUUCUUAUAAACUGACAAACAUGGUCGUUUAUAGUCAGAUUCCCGAGACUAUAUCGUGCAUGCUCUUUCUGGAAUAAUGGCUCAACACUCAACACAUAUCCACUGGGAUGCGUUUCAAGAGACAAAAGGAUAUCAUCCAAUUUGCACAUUUAACACUCAACACUCAACACAUAUCUUCCCUGUUAUCAGACACCAUUCCUAAAGAACAUGGGUUUCUAUCGCAACUCAUUCUAGCACACUUAUGACAAGCAAUAGAAAUUCUUCGAGCUCGUCGUUUUCUUGCAUAAUUUCCUUUACCACAACCAGGCAUGAAUGCAAUAAAUUUUGGAGGUAACUCACCUGCCGAUCGUACUUUAGCCUCGAUUAACCAACGGAUGUCAGCAGGUAUGUUAUUCUUCAUGAGCAAUCGCAUGCGUUCGGACCGGGCUUUAUAGAUUGUAAGGAGGGCAUUCUGAGGAAGUGAAGGGAAUCGCUUGUGAAGCUUCGCUAGAAUCUCGUUUCUGUCCAUACCUUCGCCUCAGAAUAUCAGUUAUUAUGGGAAACUGAAGUUAACCGACUUGAUUGUCAUGGAGUACCGUUAUCCGCCACUUCACCGGGGUAACAAACUAAAGCACACAAACAGAAAAAUAAAUUAAAACACACAAAGAAAAUUAAAAUUGUCCUUUUAUUGAAUUUACCUCAAGCUCCAACUGGAUGUCGUAAACACUUCUCUCAAUGUCUCUGAGUUGGCGUUCUAAACCCUCAACAUAGGCUACUAACUCUGGUGGUUGUAGAGCCCAAAUACGAUGUGUUUUACAAAAUUGAAUUUGCCAUUUGAGAUGAGUUUUGACACGUUGAAGUGGUUUAAGAAUGUUCAGGAGGAACGGUCUAAGUAAGGUACUCAUGAUUAAAAAUGAUAAGAGAAAACUUAAUAGUUUAAACAAACACACUUAUGCAAAAAUAAUUUCAAUUAGCAAAAGAAUAAUAAAAAGAAAGAAAGAAAAAUUAAAUCAACGAAAAGAAAAAACAAAUCAAUUCAAAUCUGGUGGGUCACUCAAAUUUAUUUCGGUGUCUUCUCCAUGUGGUUGGUAUUCUAGAUAUAGCUUUAAUAUUUGACCAUUAACUUUAAACGUGACACCGUUCUUUGGGUCCUUAAUUUCAAUUGCCCCAUGUGGAAAAACAGUAUGAACAAUAAAGGGACCAGACCAUCGAGAGCGUAACUUACCUGGGAAUAGGUGCAAGCGAGAAUUGAAUAAAAGCACUUUCUGACCUGGAGUGAACGAUUUUCUCAUAAUUUGCUUGUCGUGAAAGACUUUCAUUCGUUGCUUGUAAAUCUUGGCAUUUUCAUAUGCGUCAUUGCGAAUUUCUUCAAGUUCUACCAGUUGUAAUCUUCUCUCUGAGCUGGCUUGCUGCAUGUCAAAGUUGAAUUUCUUGAUGGCCCAAUAUGCACGAUGCUCGAGUUCCACAGGUAGGUGGCAAGCUUUUCCAUACACUAGCCUGUAGGGUGACAUCCCAAUCGGGGUCUUGAAAGCCGUUCUAUAUGCCCAUAAUGCAUCAUCAAGUCUUAAUGACCAAUAUUUUCUGUCUGGCCUCACUGUUUUUUCUAAUAUGUGCUUUAUUUCUCGAUUGGAGAUCUCAACUUGGCCACUAGUUUGCGGAUGAUACGGGGUCGCCACUUUGUGUGUGAUUGAAUAUUUUGUCAAAAGAGCUUUGAAUGCUUUGUUACAAAAGUGGGCACCACCAUCACUGAUUAUCGCUCGAGGGAAUCCAAAGCGUGAAACAAUGUUGCUUUUCAAAAAUCCUAUCACCACAUUGUGAUCAUUGGUUCUACAUGGAAUUGCUUCUACCCAUUUCGAGACGUAGUCAACACCAACCAAUAUGUAUUGAUGGCCAAAAGAAGGGGGAAAGGGUCCCAUGAAGUCGAUACCCCAUACGUAAAAAAUCUCAACCACUAAAAUUGGAUUUAGUGGCAUCAUGUUCCUUCGUGUAAUGCUCCCCAUUCGUUGACACCUAUCACAUGAAGAACAGAAAGUGUAAGCGUCUCGAAAUAUAGUUGGCCAAUAGAAACCACAUUGUAAAACUUUAGUCGCUGUUUUCUUAGCACUGAAAUGGCCUCCACAAGCUUGUUCAUGGCAGAAUGAAAGGAUAUUCUGAAUUUCAUUUUCAGGGACACAUCGUCUAACAAUUUGGUCUGCACAAUACUUGAACAAAUAUGGGUCAUCCCAAAAGAAAUUCUUUAUUUCCGCAAAGAAUUUAGCCUUGUCUUGAUUGGUCCAAUGCUCUGAAAGUUUACUUGUAACAAGAUAAUUAACUAUAUCAGCAUACCAAGGUAAUACUUCCACAUUCAUUAAUUGUUCAUCUAGAAAUGACUCAUUCAAUGGUAAUGGUUCCAUAAUUGUAUCAAAAUGGAGGCGAGAGAGAUGGUCAGCUACAACAUUCUCUGUGCUUUUCUUAUCUUUGAAUUCCAAGUCAAAUUCCUGCAAAAGUAACACCCAACGAAUUAGUCUAGCUUUUGCAUCUUUCUUUGUGAGAAGAUAUUUAAGAGCAGCAUGAUCUGUGAAUAUAAUUAUUUUACAACUAAUGAGAUAAGAUCAAAAUUUCUCUAAUGCAAACACUACUGCUAGCAUUUAUUUUUUAGUAGUUGAAUAGUUCAACUGUGCAUCACUCAAUGUCAUACUAGCAUAGUAAAUAAUAUGGGGAAUUCGAUCAACUCUUUGUCCUAAUACUGCUCCUACUGCAUAAUCAGAUGCAUCACACAUGAGCUCAAAUGGUAAGCUCCAGUUUGGGGCCUGAAUGAUGGGUGAUGAUGUCAACAACUGCUUUAAUUUUUCAAAUGCCACAAGACAUGAAUCAUUAAAGAUAAAAGGUACAUCCUUAGCAAGUAGAUUGCAUAAGGGUCUAGAAACUUUGCUAAAAUCUUUAAUGAAACGUCUAUAGAAACCAGCAUGCCCAAGGAAAGAUCUUACUUCUCUGACUGUUUUGGGUGGAGGAAGAUUAGAAAUGAGAUCCACCUUGGCUUUGUCAACCUCAAUACCUUUGCUUGAAAUGAUGUGACCGAGAACAAUACCUUGUUUUACCAUAAAAUGGCACUUCUCCCAAUUCAAGACUAAGUUCUUCUCGGUACAUCUCUGCAGAACUAGCGUUAGAUGAUGUAAACAUUGAUCAAACGAAUCACCAAAGACAGAAAAGUCAUCCAUAAAGACUUCAAGGAAUCGUUCAACCAUAUCAGAAAAAAUGCUUAACAUACAUCGUUGAAAUGUAGCAGGUGCAUUACAUAAUCCAAAUGGCAUUCUCCUAUAUGCAAAUGUGCCAAAAGGGCAAGUGAAAGUAGUUUUCUCUUGAUCUUUUGGUGCUAUGGGAAUCUGAUUAUAUCCUGAAUAGCCAUCUAGAAAGCAAUAAAAUUCAUGGCCUGCUAAUCUAUCAAGCAUUUGAUCAAUAAAUGGUAAAGGAAAAUGGUCUUUACGUGUGACAGAAUUCAACUUUCUAUAAUCAAUGCAUACACGCCAUCCUGUAGUUACUCUAGUUGGUAUUAAUUCAUUAUCAGCAUUGGUAACUACUGUGACUCCUGACUUUUUGGGGACAACUUGUACAGGACUGACCCAUGAACUAUCAGAAAUUGGGUAAAUGAUACCUGCGUCUAAUAGCUUAAGGACUUCUGUUCUAACAACUUCUUUCAUAUUAUGAUUUAAUCGACGUUGCAUUUCCCUAGUAGAUUUAGCAUUUUCAUCAAGGUGAAUGUAAUGCAUGCAAUCUGCAGGGUUUAUACCUUUUAUGUCCGCUAUGGUCCAUCCUAAUGCUCCUUUGUGCUUUUUUAAAACAUCCAACAACUUACCUUUUUGUUCGUCAUUGAGGGAUGAUGAGAUGAUUACCGGCAGAGAACUUUCUUCCCCCAAAAAUGCAUAUUCCAAAGUGUUGGGCAAUGGUUUGAGCUCGAGUUUCGGUGGUGAUUCUGAUGAUGGGAUGAGUUUCUUCUCUAAUGGUGCUAGUUGUUCAACUCUUGACUUCCAUUUAUUAGUGUCCAUGGAUGGUGCUGAGUCAAGUAGGGCGUUGACCUCAUCAACUGAUCUGUCAAUAUCAAAAUCAAAACCAAAGUGAGUUAAGCAUGCCUGUAAAGGAUCAUCACUAAGGUUUGAAAGAAAAGUAUUAUCAACUAUUGUUUCUAUUAAAUCCACAUCAACAAUUCCAUCAUCUGCACUGUGAGGUUGUUUGGCAAUGUUGAAAAUGUUUAGCUCCAUAGUCAUGUUGCCGAAGGACAACUGCAUAUUUUCGGUCCUGCAUUGAACAUGAGCAUCCACAGUUGCCAAGAAAGGUCGGCCUAGAAUAAUAGGGAUGUGCUUCCUUGAAUCAUGUAUUAGUUGAGUGUCAAUUACAAUGAAAUCAACAGGAAAAUAAAACUUGUCUACCUGGAUAAGCACGUCCUCCACAAUACCACGAGGUAUUUUCGUAGACCGAUCUGCAAGCUGUAACACCACUGGAGUUGGGUGUAAUUCUCCCAGUCCAAGUUUCACGAAUACAGAGUAAGGCAACAGAUUUACACUAGCUCCUAAAUCCAACAAAGCAUUCUCAAUUGUGUGGUUCCCUAUACUACAUGAGAUAGUGGGGGAGCCUGGGUCUUUGCAUUUUAAAGGAAUUUUAUGUUGGAGUAUAGAACUAACGUUUUCUGUUAAAAAUGUCUUCUUUUGAACAUGCAUAUUUCUCUUUUUAGUACAAAGGUCUUUAAGAAACUUGGCAUAAGAUGGAACUUGUUUAAUAGCAUCAAGCAAAGGGAUGUUGACACUUACCUGUUUGAAGAUUUCGAGAAUCUCACCUGUGGAUUUUCCUUUCUUUCCUUUCGCUAACCUCUGAGGAAAUAGAGCUUUGGGAACGUAUUCUCGUGGGUUGGUUUCUUCUUUUUCCUCCGGUGGUGAGUCUUCAACACUCACAGGUACAAUUUGAUUUUCUUUUGUCACCGGCAUCUCCUUUUUGUUGUCGACUUCUUUUCCUUUUCGCAAGGUCAUUACUGCUUUGACCUCUCCAUGCUGCUGUGGUGAACUUGUACUUGCUUCAUGUACUCCUUUAGGGUUAGUCACUGGUUGACUUGGAAAUUUACCUUUCUCAACAGUCAUUGCCAAGGUCUGAACUGAAGAAGCGAGUUGUCCCACCAUCUUCUCAAGGCUUGAAACUGAUUGGGCUUGUGAGUUGAAGCCUGCUCUCAACUCAUUUCGUAGUCCAUCAAUGGUGCGGUUCUGUUGCUCAAUCGUGGAGUGAGUAAGAUUCUUGAGAUUCUGGAAUGAAUCCUCCCAUGGUCUGGGUUGAGAGUAAUUCUGGUUCUGAUUGUAUGGUCUAAAUGGGGGCUGAGAGGCUUGAGGAUUUUAAGGAAUUGGUGGAGCUGGAGCUGCUGGUCCAUUUUGUUGGAAUCCUUGAGACCAUGAAAAAUUGGGGUGGUCUCUCCAUCCAGGGUUAUAUGUGUUGGAGUAAGGGUUGUAAUUCGAUGGUUUUCUCAUUACACCUAUGGCAUUGGCUUGAUCUGAGUAUGAGUCAUGGUCAUGUGGCUCUGUUGAUUUAGCAGUCGAUAACGAUGCUAUUUGUCGAGAGAGACCUUCAACCAUCUCCUUGGCUUCUUUGAUUCCCGAAGUUGACUCGCCAAUGUGAACCUCAUUCACUCCUUUAAUCCUUCUAGUAUUCCUGAGUGAUCGACUCCGUUGUUGGGAAUUGUCCGCUUGUCGCUGGAAAAACUCCCAAAUUUCUGAUGCACUUUUUGACAUUAGCUCUCCUCCACUUGUUGCCAUUAGCCAUUCUUGCACAUUCGGCAAUAAUCCCUCCAAAAAGUAUUGGCAUUGGUGCCAUUUCUCGUACCCAUGAUGUGGACACUUCAAGAGUAGUCCAUUGAAUCGCUCCCAAGUUUCGAAAAACUGCUCGUCCUCUCUUUGUGUAAACUCUGAAAUUUCCCUGCGAAUAGAAUUGGUUUUAUGCACUGGGAAAUAUUUAUUUAGAAAUUUUGUAACCAUUUGUUCCCAUGAUGCAAUGCUAUUAGCAGGCAAAGUAUUUAACCAUGAACGAGCUCUAUCCUUUAAAGAAAAUGGGAAUAAUCUAAGCUUUACAUCAUCAUCUGAAAAAUUCUCAUAUUUAAAAGUUUGACAAAUAGCAUGAAAAUCAUUCAGAUGAUUAUAUGGGUCCUCAUUUUCUAGGCCAUAAAAUGUGGGGAGACAAUUUAGCACACUAGGUUUUAAUUCAAAACUCCUAGCAGCUACAUUUGGGUAUCUUAUACAUGAUGUGCUCAAAUUAGCUAAGGGACUAAAAUAAUCCUUAAAUGGCCUCUCCUGUGGUGCUUGUAAAUCCAUUCCAAAUUUAUUAAUGUGCUUUUGUGUGCGAAGUAUUUUCUCAAGUUCAAGGUCUAUAGGUUCAAGAUUAGGUAAUAAUGACCUACGACCAUGCAUGCAAAACAAAUAAAAUAAAAAUAAAGAUGGGAACAAAACAAAUAAAAAUAAAGAAGAGGGAGAAAUUACGAUACUAACCUUAUUGCGCUAUUACAACCUUACUAUAAAAAUACACAAAAAUAAAUAUGUGAAAUAAAUUAACUAAAAAUUAAAUUAAUAAGAUAAACAAAAAUUACAAAGAAAAAUAAAUUAAAAAUUCAAUUACAGAAUUUUAAAGAAGAGAAAAAGAAAAGAAAUACUAACCUUUAAAUGUAGAUUCACUUUUUUUUUAAUAACAAAAAAAUUACACAAACAAUUAAAAGAAAUUAAUCACAAAAAUUAAUUCUACGAAUUAAAAUAACUUACCUCCCCGGCAACGGCACCAAAAAACUUGUUGUGCAAAUUUUAAUGUACUCGCAAGUGCACGAAUCUAUUGUAGUAUAGAUCAAUGGUGACGAGUGUCGAUCCCACGAGGAGGUGGAUUUUAAUUGUGUAUAGAAUUAAUUUUGUAAAUGGGGGAUUGAAUUUGUGGUGGAAAUGAUUUGGAAUAUGCUAAAACUUAAAUUAAAAUGGCGAGAAUAAAUUCUAAAAUUGGAAUUGAAAUGGCGAGAAUAAAUUGAAGAGAAUUCUAUUGAAAUGGUGUACUUGGGUAUCUGGAUCCGUAUCAACAUGCAUCAUGGGCUAAAUAUUCCUUAUUAAUACCAAUUAAAUCAUGAGGGGGGAAUCCACACCUCAUGAACCACGCUCUAAUCAAUAUGGUGCUAAGGGCUUAUCGUGCCAAAUAAUAAUAACCUUAUACUAGAGAGCCGGUGUAACCAAGGCGGUAUCUAGACAAGAUCAGUAUUAUUUGUCGACGAUAAGUCAAAUCAUCCACAAAAAUUAGAGGGGCAGAGAAAGUAAAUUUACCAAAUCAAGCCCAUGACACAUGUUGAGACUUCACCUUCAACCCAAGCUUGAAAGAAAAUUAGCCACUCAUAAUUGAACUAGGGGCAAAAUGGAAAUUUAUUAAAAUACGAAGAAAAUACAAGAUGGAGAGGGAAUUACAGAAAAUGGAUCCCAAAAAUGGAUUCAGAGAUAUCAAAUUAGGGGGGGAGGCCCCCUUUUUAUAGAUACAUGGAGUAAAUCAUGGCCAUCGGAUUAAAAACAGUUUAGACGCUCAGGAUUGCGCCACGUCAUCAGUCAACAGUCCACGGUUUGACCACGCGGAUGAACAGUAACACGGUUUGACCUGGAUGAACAGUACGCGGUUUGGUUGAAAAUAAUCCUGUCUGAUGCAUGCACCGUACGCGAGAUUUUUCGUCCACUGAUAUGCUGCCACGUCACCAUCAACAGUACAUAAGAAUUUUAGUCCAACAGGAUCGUGACACCUCAUCAGUCAAUGCCACAUCAUCGGUCAAUGCCACGUCAUCGAUCCGUCUAUGUGAACAGUGUCGUGAAUAGUAACGUAGAUAGUACCGUAUACGUGAAUAGUACUGUACACGUGAAUAGUGCCAUUUUUCCUUUUAUGCUCCUCCUAAGGUUUUCGACCAUCCUGAGUUCAAAAGUGAUGUUCGUUUUGCCGUCUGAUCUCUCCUUUAUUGUGAAAUGACUAUACUGCCCCUAAAAUACAUAAAAUACUUAAUUAAAAUAACACACACGUAAUUACAUCACAAGAAAGUUAAAUACAUAAAAGUAAGGGUUGUUAGUAAGACUUGAAAUGUAAAAUGAAGGUUUUCUCCUUUAUAAAUAUGCAUUUUCUAACACUCAACACACUCCCCAACCAGCUUAUUGCUAGUCCCUAGUGGUGAGUAUUCCCGCCUGUCACGCGGGUGACCCGGGUUCGAUCCCCGGCAACGGCGCCAAAAACUUGUUGUGCAAAUUUUAAUGUACUCGCAAGUGCACGAAUCUAUUGUAGUAUAGAUCAAUGGUGACGAGUGUCGAUCCCACGAGGAGGUGGAUUUUAAUUGUGUAUAGAAUUAAUUUUGUAAAUGGGGGAUUGAAUUUGUGGUGGAAAUGAUUUGGAAUAUGCUAAAACUUAAAUUAAAAUAGCGAGAAUAAAUUCUAAAAUUGGAAUUGAAAUGACGAGAAUAAAUUGAAGAGAAUUAUAUUGAAAUGAUGUACUUGGGUAUCUGGAUCCGUAUCAACAUGCAUCAUGGGCUAAAUAUUCCUUAUUAAUACCAAUUAAAUCAUGAGGGGGGAAUCCACACCUCAUGAACCACGCUCUAAUCAAUAUGGUGCUAAGGGCUUAUCGUGCCAAAUAAUAAUAACCUUAUACUAGAGAGCCGGUGUAACCAAGGCGGUAUUUAGACAAGAUCAGUAUUAUUUGUCGACGAUAAGUCAAAUCAUCCACAAAAAUUAGAGGGGCAGAGAAAGUAAAUUUACCAAAUCAAGCCCAUGACACAUGUUGAGACUUCACCUUCAACCCAAGCUUGAAAGAAAAUUAGCCACUCAUAAUUGAACUAGGGGCAAAAUGGAAAUUUAUUAAAAUACGAAGAAAAUACAAGAUGGAGAGGGAAUUACAUAAAAUGGAUCCCAAAAAUGGAUUCAGAGAUAUCAAAUUAGGGGGGGAGGCCCCCUUUUUAUAGAUACAUGGAGUAAAUCAUGGCCAUCGGAUUAAAAACAGUUUAGACGCUCAGGAUUGCGCCACGUCAUCAGUCAACAGUCCACGGUUUGACCACGCGGAUGAACAGUAACACGGUUUGACCUGGAUGAACAGUACGCGGUUUGGUUGAAAAUAAUCCUGUCUGAUGCAUGCACCGUACGCGAGAUUUUUCGUCCACUGAUAUGCUGCCACGUCACCAUCAACAGUACAUAAGAAUUUUAGUCCAACAGGAUCGUGACACCUCAUCAGUCAAUGCCACAUCAUCGGUCAAUGCCACGUCAUCGAUCCGUCUAUGUGAACAGUGUCGUGAAUAGUAACGUAGAUAGUACCGUAUACGUGAAUAGUACUGUACACGUGAAUAGUGCCAUUUUUCCUUUUAUGCUCCUCCUAAGGUUUUCGACCAUCCUGAGUUCAAAAGUGAUGUUCGUUUUGCCGUCUGAUCUCUCCUUUAUUGUGAAAUGACUAUACUGCCCCUAAAAUACAUAAAAUACUUAAUUAAAAUAACACACACGUAAUUACAUCACAAGAAGGUUAAAUACAUAAAAGUAAGGGUUGUUAGUAAGACUUGAAAUGUAAAAUGAAGGUUUUCUCCUUUAUAAAUAUGCAUUUUCUAACACUCAACACACUCCCCAACCAGCUUAUUGCUAGUCCCUAGUGGUGAGUAUUCCCGCCUGUCACGCGGGUGACCCGGGUUCGAUCCCCGGCAACGGCGCCAAAAACUUGUUGUGCAAAUUUUAAUGUACUCGCAAGUGCACGAAUCUAUUGUAGUAUAGAUCAAUGGUGACGAGUGUCGAUCCCACGAGGAGGUGGAUUUUAAUUGUGUAUAGAAUUAAUUUUGUAAAUGGGGGAUUGAAUUUGUGGUGGAAAUGAUUUGGAAUAUGCUAAAACUUAAAUUAAAAUAGCGAGAAUAAAUUCUAAAAUUGGAAUUGAAAUGACGAGAAUAAAUUGAAGAGAAUUAUAUUGAAAUGAUGUACUUGGGUAUCUGGAUCCGUAUCAACAUGCAUCAUGGGCUAAAUAUUCCUUAUUAAUACCAAUUAAAUCAUGAGGGGGGAAUCCACACCUCAUGAACCACGCUCUAAUCAAUAUGGUGCUAAGGGCUUAUCGUGCCAAAUAAUAAUAACCUUAUACUAGAGAGCCGGUGUAACCAAGGCGGUAUCUAGACAAGAUCAGUAUUAUUUGUCGACGAUAAGUCAAAUCAUCCACAAAAAUUAGAGGGGCAGAGAAAGUAAAUUUACCAAAUCAAGCCCAUGACACAUGUUGAGACUUCACCUUCAACCCAAGCUUGAAAGAAAAUUAGCCACUCAUAAUUGAACUAGGGGCAAAAUGGAAAUUUAUUAAAAUACGAAGAAAAUACAAGAUGGAGAGGGAAUUACAGAAAAUGGAUCCCAAAAAUGGAUUCAGAGAUAUCAAAUUAGGGGGGGAGGCCCCCUUUUUAUAGAUACAUGGAGUAAAUCAUGGCCAUCGGAUUAAAAACAGUUUAGACGCUCAGGAUUGCGCCACGUCAUCAGUCAACAGUCCACGGUUUGACCACGCGGAUGAACAGUAACACGGUUUGACCUGGAUGAACAGUACGCGGUUUGGUUGAAAAUAAUCCUGUCUGAUGCAUGCACCGUACGCGAGAUUUUUCGUCCACUGAUAUGCUGCCACGUCACCAUCAACAGUACAUAAGAAUUUUAGUCCAACAGGAUCGUGACACCUCAUCAGUCAAUGCCACAUCAUCGGUCCGUCUAUGUGAACAGUGUCGUGAAUAGUAACGUAGACAGUAUCGUAUACGUGAAUAGUACCGUACAUGUGAAUAGUGCCAUUUUUCCUUUUAUGCUCCUCCUAAGGUUUUCGACCAUCCUGAGUUCAAAAGUAAUGUCCGUUUUGCCGUCUGAUCUCUCCUUUAUUGUGAAAUGACUAUACUGCCCCUAAAAUACAUAAAAUACUUAAUUAAAAUAACACACACGUAAUUAUAUCACAAGAAGGUUAAAUACAUAAAAGUAAGGGUUGUUAGUAAGACUUGAAAUGUAAAAUGACGGUUUUCUCCUUUAUAAAUAUGCAUUUUCUAACACUCAACAAGUGUAAACACAUAGGCAGUAGUAGAUUUUCUUUUAUCAAGGUCUCCUGCAAAAUCUAAAUCCACAUAGCCCCUUACAGUAAACUCUGAUCCUCUUUAAUAUAAUGCAACAUCUGAGGUUCCUCUGAUGUAUCUCAGAAUCCUCUUCAUAACUAUCCAAUGCUCUCCACCAGGAUUCACCAUGUAUCGACUGACUGCUCCACUGCUUGUGCAAUGUCUGGUCUUGUACAAAUCAUAGCGAACAUUAAACUUCCCACUGCUGAUGCAUAUGGUACUCGAGACAUCUCAUUUCUCUCUGCUUCAUUGCUAGGACACAUACUUGAGGAUAAUUUGAAAUUAACAGGAAGUGGGGUAUAAAUUGGCUUACAAUCUUGCAUGUUGAAGCCCCGCAAGAUUUUCUUCAAGUAGUUCUUUUGAGAAAGCCAAAUCUUCCUGUUAUUUCUGUCUCGGUGAAUUUGCAUCCCUAGAAUCUUGUUUGCUGGUCCCAAGUUCUUCAUUUCAAACUCCCUAGCCAACUGUGCCUUCAAUUCUUGGAUUCGAUCUUUGUUGGAGCCUGCUACUAACAUAUCAUCCAUAUACAACAGUAAAAUAAUGAAAUCAUUAUCUUUAAACCUUUUGUAAUAUGCACAAUAGUCUUAACUGAGUCUAUUGUAUCCAAGGCUCACAAUGAAUGAAUCAAAUCUCUUAUACCAACAUCUCGGCGCCUGUUUGAGACCGUAUAGAGAUUUGUUCAACCUGCAAACCAAGUUUUCUUUUCCUGUUUCUGCAAAACCUCCUGGUUGGAGCAUAUAUAUUUCUUCUUCAAGUUCUCCAUGAAGAAAUGCAGUUUUCACAUCUAACUGCUCUAAAUCUAGGUCAAAUGUAGCACACAUUGCCAAGACUAUUCUGACUGUUGUGAGUCGAAUUAUCGGAGAAAAUAUCUCGUUGAAGUCAAUACCUUCUUUCUGAGCAUAUUCUUUCACCACCAAUCUUGUAUGAUAUCGCUCCACUUGGUCAUUGCCAUCACGCUUGAUCUUGUAGACCCAUUUAUUUUCAAUAACUUUUCUUCCACGUGGUAGUGGUAUAAGUUCCCAUGUCUUGUUCUUGUGUAGAGGCUCAAUUUCUUCCUGCAUUACUGUCAUCCAUAAAGCAACAUCUGUGUUGCUUAAAGUUUCAUGGAAAGUUGAUGGCUCUCCAUCCUCUGUUAGAAGACAGUAUGCAACAUUGAUCUAUGUGACAUACUCCGAGUGCCAUACUGGCGGUCGUCUCUCACGAGUUGACCGAUGAAAUUCUAGAGCCUCGGACUCGACUGGUUCUUAUUCCUUGUGCUCUAGUGCUGCUUCAGAAGAAUCUGAAUCUUCUGGAUGAUUUUCCACAUAUACCGGCACAGUCUCUGACUUUUCUUUUACAGUGCUAUCAUCCUCAUCUUUUCUUUGCAGUUGAUCUUCUACAAAGAUAACAUCUCUGCUGAUGACGAUCUUGUAGGCAGUGAGGUCCCACAGACGAUACCCUUUACUCUAUCAGCAUAUCCUAAGAAGAUAUACCUCCUAGAUUUUGGAUCCAGCUUUGCUCUUUCUUGGGCAUUGUACAUCACGUACACAUGACAUCCAAAUGCAUGUAGGUAGGAGUAAUCAGCUGGCUUUUCAGUCUACAUCUCCAUCGCUGUCUUCAGCCCAAUAGUUGUAGAUGGGUAGACCAGCAGUCCUCAACAUAGCUCUUAUUCGUUCUGUAAGAAUCCUAUUCAUCCGCUCUGCCACUCCAUUUUGUUGAGGAGUGUAUGCUACCGUGAACUGCCUCUGAAUACCUUCUUGCCUACAAAAAGCAAGAAACUCGCCGCUGUAUAGUCUCCACCAUUAUCCGUCCUCAAGCACUUGAUCUUUUUUCCGGAUUCAAGUUCCAUCCGCACUUUGUAUUCUUUAAACACUAGAAAUACAUAUGACUUUUUCCUAAUUAGAUACACCCAACAUCUCCUAGAAUAAUUAUCAAUGAAAGUCACCAUGUACUUUGCACCUCUCAUAGUCAUAUCCGGCGAUUCCCAAACAUCAUAAUGAAUCAAGUCUAGAAUGCGUUUACUUCUAGCAAUAGAUCUACUGAACUUUAAUAUAUGAUGCUUACUUGUAACACAAUGCUCGCAAAAUGGUAAACGUACCGAUUUAAGUCCUGGAAGCAAUUUUCGCUCAGAGAAAAUCUUCAAAUCUUGUUAUGACAUGUGGUCAAGUUUGAGAUGCCACAUCAUCGUUGACUCUUCUCCAUUUGAUGCAACACAUGCAUCAGCCUCCUGUAAUGUUUCUCCUUUAAGCAUGAAUAGAUUAACACCGAUUUUUUCUGCCUUCAUCAAUACAAGCGCGCCUUUAACGAUCUUCAUAAUUUUAUUCUCCACAUGAGUUUUGUACCCAUGACUAUCCAUUUGUCUCAAAGACAAUAGAUUUUUCUUC